AAACCUAUAGUGUAACGUUAGCACGUCAGUUUUUGGCACUGGCAGUACAGGUUCAAAUCCUGUUAGGUUUAC
Molecule: transfer RNA, 72 nt
Filed under: Neptunitalea chrysea
Lineage: Bacteria; Pseudomonadati; Bacteroidota; Flavobacteriia; Flavobacteriales; Flavobacteriaceae
Description: tRNA-Gln
Rfam family: tRNA
About the family: Transfer RNA (tRNA) molecules are approximately 80 nucleotides in length. Their secondary structure includes four short double-helical elements and three loops (D, anti-codon, and T loops).
Source: RNAcentral